This 70-nucleotide transfer RNA is filed under the name Camelus bactrianus (Bactrian camel). It matches the Rfam family "tRNA". From Rfam's summary of the family: Transfer RNA (tRNA) molecules are approximately 80 nucleotides in length. Their secondary structure includes four short double-helical elements and three loops (D, anti-codon, and T loops). Further hydrogen bonds mediate the characteristic L-shaped molecular structure. tRNAs have two regions of fundamental functional importance: the anti-codon, which is responsible for specific mRNA codon recognition, and the 3' end, to which the tRNAs corresponding amino acid is attached (by aminoacyl-tRNA synthetases). tRNAs cope with the degeneracy of the genetic code in two manners: having more than one tRNA (with a specific anti-codon) for a particular amino acid; and 'wobble' base-pairing, i.e. permitting non-standard base-pairing at the 3rd anti-codon position. Lineage: Eukaryota; Metazoa; Chordata; Mammalia; Artiodactyla; Camelidae. The record is from Rfam by way of RNAcentral. RNAcentral also lists the same sequence under 1 other name.
GGAUCUAGCUCAGUGGUAGAGCGCAUGCUUAGCAUGCACGAGAUCCUGGGUUCAAUUCCCAGUACAUCCA